UACAGAUAUAGGAGUUGUGUCAUGAACUACCAUUUGGAAAUGUCCAUAUGUGAAUUGACGUCAAAUACCACAUACACGUGUACAAGAAUUUCACCUUUAAUUUCCUCUUUAAUUUUCUGGAGAGAGGACAAAAAUUUUUCGGAACGAAGCGAGCUAGCUAAAGAAUGAUCAAAAGUCUGUUCUGUGCGAAAGUUUUUUUCUGCGACUAAAUGGAAAUCUACUUCUUUUGUCCAGUCUUGAUGAAAUCUGGCACGUGUAUUCAUCAGGAUCAAAGGAGGGUCACUACCAACAUUUCAAAGUCCAAAAAUGUAUUUAAAAUAACAAAUUUUUGGUGUGUUUUUUUUUCAACUUUAUUUUUUGAAAAUAUUAUCUCAUAGAAAUAAUUCUAAAACUUCAAAAAAAUAUGUUUUUAAUGAUUACAAUUUUAA
This is a long non-coding RNA of Argiope bruennichi, 428 nucleotides long. RefSeq lists it as uncharacterized. Lineage: Eukaryota; Metazoa; Arthropoda; Arachnida; Araneae; Araneidae. The transcript has 3 exons. The record is from RefSeq and is a predicted model, not a curated record.